CCUACGGGAGGCAGCAGUAAGGAAUAUUGCGCAAUGGGCGAAAGCCUGACGCAGCGACGCCGCGUGGGGGAUGAAGGUCUUCGGAUUGUAAACCCCUUUCGGGAGGGAAGAUGGAAUGAGCAAUCAUUCGGACGGUACCUCCAGAAGCAGCCACGGCUAACUUCGUGCCAGCAGCCGCGGUAAUACGAAGGUGGCAAGCGUUGUUCGGAUUUACUGGGCGUACAGGGAGCGUAGGCGGUUUAGUAAGCCCUUUGUGAAAUCUCCAGGCUUAACCUGGAACAGUCGGAGGGGACUGCUAAGCUAGAGUACGGGAGAGGAGCGCGGAAUUCCCGGUGUAGCGGUGAAAUGCGUAGAGAUCGGGAGGAAGGCCGGUGGCGAAGGCGGCGCUCUGGAACGUUUCUGACGCUGAGGCUCGAAAGCGUGGGGAGCAAACAGGAUUAGAUACCCUGGUAGUCCACGCCUUAAACUAUGAAUACUAAGUGUCGGCGGUUUACCGCCGGUGCCGCAGCUAACGCAUUAGAUUCCGCCUGGGAAUCGGCGCAAGGUUGAACUCAAAG
RNAcentral lists this ribosomal RNA (557 nucleotides) under uncultured bacterium. Its description in RNAcentral is "bacterial SSU rRNA". It matches the Rfam family "Bacterial small subunit ribosomal RNA", at positions 338 to 906 of the family's 1533-position model. The record is from RNAcentral.